UAUAGCUCAGUAACACGUGGCCAAACUACCCUACAGACCGCGAUAACCUCGGGAAACUGAGGCCAAUAGCGGAUAUUACUCUCAGGCUGGAGUGCCGAGAGUGAGAAACGUUCCGGCGCUGUAGGAUGUGGCUGCGGCCGAUUAGGUAGAUGGUGGGGUAACGGCCCACCAUGCCGAUAAUCGGUACAGGUUGUGAGAGCAAGAGCCUGGAGACGGUAUCUGAGACAAGAUACCGGGCCCUACGGGGCGCAGCAGGCGCGAAACCUUUACACUGCACGACAGUGCGAUAGGGGGACUCCGAGUGUGAGGGCAUAUAGCCCUCGCUUUUCUGUACCGUAAGGUGGUACAGGAACAAGGACUGGGCAAGACCGGUGCCAGCCGCCGCGGUAAUACCGGCAGUCCAAGUGAUGGCCGAUAUUAUUGGGCCUAAAGCGUCCGUAGCUUGCUGUGUAAGUCCAUUGGGAAAUCGACCAGCUCAACUGGUCGGCGUCCGGUGGAAACUACACAGCUUGGGGCCGAGAGACUCAACGGGUACGUCCGGGGUAGGAGUGAAAUCCUGUAAUCCUGGACGGACCACCAAUGGGGAAACCACGUUGAGAGACCGGACCCGACAGUGAGGGACGAAAGCCAGGGUCUCGAACCGGAUUAGAUACCCGGGUAGUCCUGGCUGUAAACAAUGCUC
This 682-nucleotide ribosomal RNA is filed under the name Haloarcula hispanica ATCC 33960. Its description in RNAcentral is "bacterial SSU rRNA". It matches the Rfam family "Archaeal small subunit ribosomal RNA", at positions 84 to 765 of the family's 1478-position model. The record is from RNAcentral. Lineage: Archaea; Methanobacteriati; Methanobacteriota; Halobacteria; Halobacteriales; Haloarculaceae.